Molecule: long non-coding RNA, 6206 nt
Filed under: Sorghum bicolor (sorghum)
Lineage: Eukaryota; Viridiplantae; Streptophyta; Magnoliopsida; Poales; Poaceae
Description: long non-coding RNA (SBIC_LNC015287)
Source: RNAcentral
GGGCGAUCAGAUAAGCCUGACUUUAUCACUGUUAAAGGUGCAAUUUCACAUCUGAAAACUGAUAAUUUUUGUUAUCCUGCUUGCACCAUGGAGGUGAAUGGUAGGCUGUGCAACAAAAAGGUAAUGAAUAAUGGUGAUGGGACAUGGCAGUGUGACAAAUGCAACAAGAGCUUACCAAAUUUCGAGUAUAGAUACUUGCUGCUGUGCCAGAUCCAGGACCACACUGGGGUCACCUAUGCUACUGCAUUCCAAGCGGCUGGUGAAGCAAUAUUUGGCCACACGGCUCAAGAGCUUUUCAUGAUACAAAAUGUAGAACAAGAUGACAUGAGAUUCACAGAAAUCAUGCAGGCGGUCCUUCGGCGUGAAUACCUAUUCAAGCUGAAAAUCUAUGAGGAAACCUAUAAUGGUGAGCAGCGUGUGAUAUGCUCCAUCAUUGGUGUUGAGAAGCUGGAAGAAACCAACAACCUUUUAAAGGAUGUUUCCCGCCCUAUUCUGAAGGAUCAUUCAUCCUACAUCCCAAGCGUUGGCUCUGCCAAUUUGGAAGCCAAACAGAGCUUGCUAACCUCCAGCAAUGCCUAUGGCUGUGCCACAGUUGUGGGUGACACAGGCUUUGCACAGUCGGACGGGAUAUGGUCGGCAGGGAGGGGAGCCCAAGCAUGCUUCAAAUGCAACCAGCCUGGGCACUGGUCUAAGGACUGCCUUGUCUGAGGCACUUUAGUGCCUUGGCUCAUCCAGGAGGUCACUGGAAAAACCUCUCAUACCAAAUAGUUCUACGAAGGUUGCUUUUGCUUAGUAGGCUGCGAGUCCUACUUUAUCAUGUACAGUUAUAUUUUCAGUACCUAUCUCUAUCUAUGUGCCUGGUUCCUUUGGACCAGGUGGUUAGUACUUAGUAAUAUGCUGGAGGUUGCUGGAAAAACCUAAUCUAUGUCCUUUGCAAGCCUGCCUUAUUGUGGAAUCUGUGGUUUGUAAGCGCCUUAUUAUGGAACCUGUGGUAUGUAAGCAACUGAUGGUUAGUAGUAUUCAUCUUAUGUUCAAGAAUGUUUUUUAUAUAUUUGUUCUGUGCAAGUCCAAUCAAGGGUUUGUUGGUGUCUACUUUGCUUCUGUAUGCAUGUGAAUGUUCAGGCAGAUGCCCUCUUUAUUUUUUUCAAUCCUCAUGAAUUUGGUGUUCGGGUGUACAAGCAGGAUACUGCACCCGGGCUGGUUGGUGAUCAUCUGUGCUGUGAUUAUUAGAAGAAUCUGGUGCCUUUCAGCGGCUUACUUUUAUUUUUAAAGAAAAAGAAAACCCAAAUCAAUGCAGUAAAUUCUGUUAGAACGAGCCAACGAGGGAAGACAGAGCAAGUAUUGCCGCGAUAUCUAUUGCUGCUCAGACUAGCUAUGUCCAGAGGUCAUUGGCGGAGAUGAUGAUGAAGAAAUAAAUUCUCAAUUUACUAGUAUAGUGCCCGUGCUAACGCUACGGCUUUUUUCAGAAUGCACAUGAAAACAACUAAACAAUGAUAGUUUUCUACAGUUUAAGUCUCAUGCAAUUAUAUGUGACCAUACAUAUAAUACAAAAAAAUACUCAUGCAUAAUGAGACAUAAUAAAGUCAUGUCUCGCAUAGUAUAAUUAACUUAUUUAAUUUGAAGCACGGGACACAUUAAGAUAAAAAAUUGAAAAGGCAUAAAAAUCUAUAGCCGGCAACUGUACAAGCUGUGAUUAGAGCUAGUUAACCCAGCAAAAGUUGAGGCGAGUUAGUCCUGACGGCCUUCACACCCCUUUCCAUCCUGACGGUCUUCACAUCCGCAAGUCAGUACACAAGAACAUUAAAUAGAAAAUGCUUUUAGAGAGUCUGACGGAUGAGUGCAACUGGUGAAUGCAAAGUCCAAACUUGUUCUACAAAACAAUAAAACACAUGAAUAUUAGAUUUAGUCAGAGAGGAACUGCGAGCCUGCACCACUGUUGCAUGAAAAUGAGGAGGCUAAUAUCAGUACUAAUAGGCUGCAGCCCUACGCCAAUAUGUUGCAAGCAGCAUUCAUGUACUAUAUCAAGCAAUUGAAUAUGUAUAUCGAAAAUAUUAGUCAAUUGGCUAUAAGGUAGGCAAUAAAAAAAUUAUCACUGACCCACCAUACAAAUUCCAUCAUAAAAAGCUGAAUAAAUAGUGCAAUUUUUAGUACAUCAAAAAUAAAAUUGAUCUUGAUAUCAUAAUAAUUCCAUUAGCAAUCAGCAAUACAACAAGAACCUUCCCACUACUUUAGAGGGAUGCCUUCCAACACGAACUCUAGGCUAGCAUGAACUUCAAUUAGCUUGCAAAUAACUCACCCUUCAUUAAUAUCGAUAGGUUUCCUAUCAUACAAAUCAAACUCUCUUGCAUGCAUACCUAUAUUUUUACAGUAUAAAAAAGUUUACCCACCCCGUCAUGGAUCCAGACCAAGUAUUAGCUGGUAAAUUACUAAAUUGUACUAACAUAGUGGAAAUGUCAUAAGAUAGAAGAAAAUAAAGUAGAUCAACCCAGGAUUAAGUUCUAGUUCAUGUAUUCUUGACCAAGUACAGGAAGCAUUGACAUCUUAUAAACUGUAUCGUCAAAUAUUUAACCUGAAAUGCAGAAAUCACAUAAUUGUAUACUGAAGAAAUGCAGAAAUAUUAGUACUACAAAAAGCAGAGUUCUAAUUGUCAGGACAACUAUUCAGUGUAAUUCAGAGUUCCACCUUUAAUGUCUUAUUUUGUGAUUCUUCUACGUACUGUCACUUAUCAACACUAUCCUUGAGCUGGUUUUCACACAGGGAAAAAGGAACUACAUUUACAUGCUUGUCAAAAGUGUAAGUGAUUUAUAGGAAGGAAACUCCUAAUACAAGAAAGCCUCAUGCAAUUCUGUAACCAGUCAAACUCACAUAGACAGUAGAAUUGCAUUUUUGUUUCCUAUCACUUCGUAUAUAAACUACUUAAAACAGGUUAGUUGAUGCAUAUUAGAAGAAGAUGCAUGAUGAUUAUUGAAGAUGGAGGCAUACCAUGCAGCAUGCACAUAUCAGACCAGCGUAGACCCUCUUGUCUGUAACUCUCGGCAAUCUGGAAUUGCAGCAGUGCUUGUACUGCAACAUUGGAACUGCUGGCCAAGUAAAGACUGAAACACCAAAUAAAAAACAGAAAUCAGUAACACAAGUAAAAACUUGUUUUGGUUGAAAUGCAGAAAUCACAUAAUUAUAUACUGAAGAAAUGCAGAAAUAUUAGUACUACAAAAAGACAAGCAGAGUUCCAAUUGUCAGGAUAAUUAUUCAGGGUAAUUCAGAGUUCCACCUUUAAUAUCUUAUUCUGCGAUUCUUCUACAUACUGUUCAGAGGUCGUUGCCAAUCCCCAGUGUGCCUGCUACAGUAACAUACAAAAUAAGAUAAACAUUAUAAAAAAAUAAAAUGAACAAUCAAAAUAUCAUUAAGAUUCAAGGAACAAAACCCUGCAAGAAAGCCAAGAGUGUAGGUGUGUAUUUCAACUCCCAAACAUGAGACAAGCCGUUGAUUUCUGAAAGUUAAAACACUUCAGUAGUACCAGUGCAAAUUUGAGGCCAAAAGUACCAGUGCAAUGCUAUGUUUCACUGUGAAAACAAAUAAUUUAAAAUGUGUUGAUUUUAUUAUCACAUAUUAGCCAUCAAUUUUGGCACUUCCCAACAUGUUUGAACUCUGUAGCAUCUCAAUCCUGCAAGACCACAAAAUAUGACAAGAUGCUAGUUGUAAGAUAAGAACAAAAGAUUUAAAACAUUGAGCCUCUCUGUCAUGAAGGAAAUACAUGUAGCUCUAGUGAAAACACAGUUAUCCAUAAGCUUUGGCUUUAUAUGUUGUAGGGGUGAUGGUAAUAGUGAUCGAAAACAUACUCAACUAACAAUUUCUCUAUUGCCAUAUAUUAUAUUUGUCCAUAUUAGGGUGGGUUAGAAUUCAGAUUUUGUGUCAAACCUUAAAUACAUGGAAACUGACAUCGUUAAAGAAUAUAUGGUUUACAGAACAGAGAGGAAGCGAGCAAAACUUGCUUCUUUCCUAACUCUACAAAAUUAAUCAAUUAUUCUUCAGGCUGCAAACAACCAACAAACUAAUGAAUCAGCCUAAGGUGGAGAAAAAUUCCAAAUCACCUAGAAAGCGAAGCAACUCACCUUCUCGAUCUGUUCCGGAUCUGCAGGAGAUUGUCCAAGGAGAAAAACAGGCCGUGAUCGAUGGCAUUUUCCAUUGUCCCAGUCCCCGUGGGUGUCGGCGGCCUUUGCCCUCUUGCCGUUUUGUCCCGUACUGGCAGCCGUUGCCCUGUUGGCCCUAUCUGUAUGCACCAAAUUAGGAUGACGCGAGCCUCCACGAGUGGGAAAUCCGGCAGAGAGAGAGAGAGAGAGAGAGAGAGAGAGAGGAGCAAACCGAUCAGACGACGGGAGGUCAAGCAGAGCGCCUAGCGGUGUAGAACACCGGCACCAGCCCUCGCUAGUGUGGGUAGGGGGAAGCCGGGAAGGGGGCAGCCGUGGCCACCAACGGCGCACCGCCUGCGCCACGCCGUACCGGGGCCGCCAACAGCAGGGGCCACAGCCGUGGCCGUCCGAGUGGUGCCGGUGGCGGCGAGGACCUUCAGUAUGGGCACCGGCAGCGGAGGAUCUAGGAGGGCCGCCAUGGCCUGCUCGUGCCAGCGCGCCGCCUGCGAGGGCGCCGUCGCCCUACGGCCGCGCCUCCUUGGGACUUGGGAGAGAGAUGGAGGGGUAUGUGAAGGGAGCAGGAGAUGAGGAGUCGGAGUCACUUCGGGAAAUAAAAAAUUACAUGUGCAGGAGGUGACGUCGGGGAGAGACCGAGAGAGGGAGUUGCGCGUGGGGUCGCUGUGGGAUGGGAGGAGUGAUGAGCUUUGAUCCAAACAAUUUGGUCCGUUGGAUAUGAGUGAGUAAGAGAAAUGAGUGAUUAGAGUUAAUCUUGUCCCUUAAUUUCAUAAGAUAGAGCUUUCUGGGUGCAAUUAUCUGGGUGUAUUGAGUGGAGUUUAUGACUAUAGUAGUGGGUUAUGGGGUGCAUUUAGCUAAGUUCUCAACUGGUGGAUUAUAUAGUAGUGGAGAUUCCCCCCUCUCCUCUCCUCUCCUCUCGGGCGCGAUGGCGGCGCAGCUGACGACCGGCGCGGUGGCGGCGGUGUCGGAGCACGCGGACGGCAACGGGACGCUGCAACCCGUGCUGCAGGUGGUGGACGUGCGGAUAGUCCCCAACGUCAAGAGCGCCACCAACUUGCUGCUGUGCCAGAUCCAGGACCACACUGGGGUCACCUAUGCUACUGCAUUCCAAGCGGCUGGUGAAGCAAUAUUUGGCCACACGGCUCAAGAGCUUUUCAUGAUACAAAAUGUAGAACAAGAUGACAUGAGAUUCACAGAAAUCAUGCAGGCGGUCCUUCGGCGUGAAUACCUAUUCAAGCUGAAAAUCUAUGAGGAAACCUAUAAUGGUGAGCAGCGUGUGAUAUGCUCCAUCAUUGGUGUUGAGAAGCUGGAAGAAACCAACAACCUUUUAAAGGAUGUUUCCCGCCCUAUUCUGAAGGAUCAUUCAUCCUACAUCCCAAGCGUUGGCUCUGCCAAUUUGGAAGCCAAACAGAGCUUGCUAACCUCCAGCAAUGCCUAUGGCUGUGCCACAGUUGUGGGUGACACAGGCUUUGCACAGUCGGACGGGAUAUGGUCGGCAGGGAGGGGAGCCCAAGCAUGCUUCAAAUGCAACCAGCCUGGGCACUGGUCUAAGGACUGCCUUGUCUGAGGCACUUUAGUGCCUUGGCUCAUCCAGGAGGUCACUGGAAAAACCUCUCAUACCAAAUAGUUCUACGAAGGUUGCUUUUGCUUAGUAGGCUGCGAGUCCUACUUUAUCAUGUACAGUUAUAUUUUCAGUACCUAUCUCUAUCUAUGUGCCUGGUUCCUUUGGACCAGGUGGUUAGUACUUAGUAAUAUGCUGGAGGUUGCUGGAAAAACCUAAUCUAUGUCCUUUGCAAGCCUGCCUUAUUGUGGAAUCUGUGGUUUGUAAGCGCCUUAUUAUGGAACCUGUGGUAUGUAAGCAACUGAUGGUUAGUAGUAUUCAUCUUAUGUUCAAGAAUGUUUUUUAUAUAUUUGUUCUGUGCAAGUCCAAUCAAGGGUUUGUUGGUGUCUACUUUGCUUCUGUAUGCAUGUGAAUGUUCAGGCAGAUGCCCUCUUUAUUUUUUUCAAUCCUCAUGAAUUUGGUGUUCGGGUGUACAAGCAGGAUACUGCACCCGGGCUGGUUGG